RNAcentral lists this ribosomal RNA (253 nucleotides) under uncultured bacterium. RNAcentral describes it as "partial 16S ribosomal RNA". It matches the Rfam family "Bacterial small subunit ribosomal RNA", at positions 524 to 776 of the family's 1533-position model. The record is from RNAcentral.
UACGUAGGAGGCUAGCGUUGUCCGGAAUCAUUGGGCGUAAAGAGCGUGUAGGCGGUCCGGUAAGUCCGCUGUGAAAGUCGGGGGCUCAACCCUCGAAUGCCGGUGGAUACUGUCGGGCUAGAGUGCGGAAGAGGCGAGUGGAAUUCCUGGUGUAGCGGUGAAAUGCGCAGAUAUCAGGAGGAACACCUAUUGCGAAGGCAGCUCGCUGGGACGUAACUGACGCUGAGACGCGAAAGCGUGGGGAGCAAACAGG